CGGAACACGUACAGAACCUUCCUUUAAGCGGGGGAUAGCCCGGAGAAAUCCGGAUUAAUACCCCAUAGUAAUGUUAAGUGGCAUCACUUGAUAUUUAAAGAUUUAUCACUUAGAGAUGGCUGUGCGGCUGAUUAGGUAGUUGGUGCGGGUAAAGGCCCACCAAGCCAGCGAUCAGUAACUGGUGUGAGAGCACGACCAGUCACACGGGCACUGAGACACGGGCCCG
This 226-nucleotide ribosomal RNA is filed under the name uncultured bacterium. RNAcentral's name for it is "partial 16S ribosomal RNA". It matches the Rfam family "Bacterial small subunit ribosomal RNA", at positions 109 to 334 of the family's 1533-position model. The record is from RNAcentral.